Sitodiplosis mosellana (orange wheat blossom midge) is the source of this 4339-nucleotide RNA transcript. RefSeq lists it as uncharacterized. Lineage: Eukaryota; Metazoa; Arthropoda; Insecta; Diptera; Cecidomyiidae. The transcript has 5 exons. The record is from RefSeq and is a predicted model, not a curated record.
UGAAUUAUUUGUGACGUCUAGUGCGAUUCGAGUGUCGGACGCAUCGGAGACCACCGCAUCAUUCACAACAGCUGUUCGGUGUUCAAUGUUCAUACACAUAGCCAAUGCGUUGACAUAGGUUUAGUUGUCACUCAAAAUCAUAACGAACUGCGUGAUAAAUAUUGUUUUUUCGCUUCUUUUUUAAUUCAGCGUCAAAUGCAAUACAUUUUUUAUUGGGUUUGGUUCUUUGAAUAAAUAUUACGCUUAUUGGUCAUCAUUCAAACGUCAACGUUGUGUUUUAUUGAUCUGUGAUAUUAAUACAACUCUCAAUGGAGUCACAGAAUAAAACUGAAAUAACCGAAAAAAGAUCUGUCUGUUUUGAUUUGAACUCAAAUGGCCCAUCUAAUGAACACGAAGAAUCGCCACCAAAAAUUGACAAUUUGGAACAUUUUCCCGCUGAGAUUCUUUUGUCAAUUUUCAACCAGACAGAUGAUAUUGAUUUGGCGAGUUUGGGUUUGAUCAGCGCACGAUUUGAGCCUAUGGUACGAGAAGUGUUAACAGAAAGAUACCCCGACAGAUUUUUCUUGAUCAAAGGAGAGAGCGAACGUCAACAGAACAUGUAUUCCAAGCUACUCAAUCUCUUUGGUAAUAGCAUAAGGGCAAUUGAAGUUAAUGGCAUUCGACACAUUGAUGAUGAUCAUUGGCUCGUUCAACUAUUGAAUAAACAAACGUCAAAUGUGGAAAAGUUGUGCUUUACGGAGUGUUCUUUUCAAAAUGUCGACCUUUUUUUAACGCAACAUAUCAAAAUCACACACUUGGCAUUUCGCGGUGGAUCAUGUGAGGGGGAAUAUCGCAUUCAACUACCCAAAUACCGAAACCUAAAGUCAUUGGAACUAUUUAAAUUUUGUCAUAUCUCAAAACCAUCACUGGAGCAAGUGCUUCUGAAUAAUCGACAAAUGGAACGAUUGAUCCUGAAGUUAUGUGAACAUUAUUUCAAAUUGCCCGACCUUAUGAAACUGAUUUACACCUACCAAACACAUUUGAAAGAGUUGAAUAUAUCAGACAAUUAUGACUAUAGAUUAUGUGACAGUUUUACGGCCUAUUUAGUUGGUACUCUUAUAGAACCAUUUGUGAAUGCAUUAAAAUCUCUGGAAUCAUUUGGAGUGGCCUUGUAUCAUGAAUGUGAAAGAAGUUUGGUGCAAAGUAUUGGUUCCAACUGUAAAAGUAUCAAACAUUUUGAGUUGUACUAUCACAAUCAAAGACGAGAAAUAAUCGAAUUGAUGUGCUCGUUUAACAAAGUCGAAACACUUUCACUGAACAAUUGUUAUUUUCAAGAAUAUCUUCCGACAAUCGUUGAAAAUUUGCCAAAUCUACGCCAUGUGAUUUUUUUAUACAAUUCACAUAUGGAACAUUUCAGUGAUGAUGAUCUUUUGGAAAUCAUACGUAACAGUAGCAAGCACUUGAAAGAAAUUGUAAUCGAAACCAAAUACUACUUGGCCUAUGAUAAGACAUUUCACAAUAAAAAUUUACAUUUCCAUAGGGAAUUUAUCAAAGCCAUACCAAAUCCACACUUCAGAUUGGAAUUCAGAGAAAAGGGGGAGGCUAUUGCAGUCAUAACGAAAGAAGAAAUCAUUUGGAGGAAUAAGCUAUUGCAUUGGGUUGGCUAUAAACCGAUCAACAGUUACUCCGAUUUGCGAUUGUUAGAUUUGGCCACUAUUCCGAAAUGGUCAACCGGUAAACAUAAACACCCGCUCAAUUUGAUUUUCAAUUACUUGGACUUGGAUAGCCUUUACUCCUUCUCUAUGGCUAGUGAAGAGAGCAAGCAACUAGUUGACAACUACAUUCAACAACGCUGUAAGACACCGCACAGAAAACGCGCUAAGCAACGAUCCAGACAACGAGGGAAGUUCUUUGUCACAGACGAAUUCAGGGAGGAUUUCAAUGGAUUGCAAAUGUUCGGAAAGUCUGUAAAGCAUUUGGAUGCUAAUCUUUUGGAUGACCGCAACGAUGGCCUUUGUGAUGUCAUCAAUGAACACUGCAAAUUUCUUACAACGCUGUGCCUUCGCGCACACCGGACAGUCUAUCUACAUAGCCUAUAUUUUCCAAAAGUACGAAACCUGAUUUUCUACGGUUAUAGUGCAGAUCACAGGCAUGUCUGUGAUUUGAGCAAUUUAUCGAAAAAAUGUCCCAACUUAGAAAUAUUGGAAAUAAGAACCGAAAUCGAUCUUAAUGGAAGCACGAAAAACAUGCUUUCAAAAUUACAGAAAAUUAAGUUCAAACCUCGUGAUGAUUCGCAAGUGAAAUUCGUUGAGAAUUUUUUUGAAAAUGCCAGCAUUGAGGUUGUCAUUGAUUCCUGAAAAUUUGGUUUAUAUCUUGAAUUUUGUUCGCCAAAUAGAUGUUCAUACAUAAAUUUUUUGAAAAUUAAUUUGCUUGUGUGAACCAUACCGAACAUUAUGGAAACUAUAUUCAUUUGUGUGUAGCACAUAAAAUCUUUUUGUAGCUUUAUCAAUUGCACUUUCUCCUGCAAUCUUCACAUAUGACAUCUUUUGUUUUGGAGCGUCGACGCCGUAUACACAUACACACAAAUUCGCAAACAGUGUGCGAUCCAAAUACCGGCGACCGAACGCAUCAUAGUCUACUAUAUAAAUACUGUUUAUUAUGCUUAUACAGAUUUAGUUGUCAUUUUGCAUCAAAACAAACGGCGCGAUAGCUUGCAUUUUCUUUGAAUUUUUUGUAAUUUAAUAAUUUCCUCUUGAGUUUUCCCUAUAGCCAAGGAAAGAUAAGAAGGUAAGCACUUGUGUUUGCAAAUGUGCCGAAAAAAUAAAUGCAGCGAGAAUUCAUGUUAGUAUCAUCGUAAAUAUUCAGAUUUAGGUCUGUUGUAUCUAAAUUUGACAAUUUUUAGUCAGUUAGUUUAGGUGUCAUAUUUCAUUAAACUCCGUCAACUUCAUAAACAAUUGAUAUAAAAAAAAGAUUCGAAAUUUGAAAAGUAAUAAAAAUUAGUGAAAACUUUCAAUGCACGUUUACUUGUCAACAAUUGACACCCAUAGAAUGAAAAAAAGAACUUCUGAACUCUUUGCCGAUAAAUGAAACGAAAAAAAAACUUAGAGCAAAAAAGAAACAAAUGAAGUUGCGAGCAAAAGUGACACAAGUAGCCAUUGAGCGGAAAACACGUUUUUCUCAUUUUUCUCGCUACUGGAAAAAGAUAGCGACUACGUGUCUUCGGCAAUAUUGUAGAAAAUGGAAAUAACUAUAAAUAAGCCGAAGACGCAUAGUCGCUGUCUUUUUCCAGUAGCGAGAAAAAUGAGAAAAACGUGUUUUCCGCUCAACGCCCACUUGUGUCACUUUUGCUCGCAACUUCAUUUGUUUCUUUUUUGCUUUAAGUUUUUUUUCGUUUCAUUUAUCGGCAAAGAGUUCAGAAGUUGUUAUUUUGUUCUUAGACUGUGAAUUGUGUAUGUGUAAAACUUUUUCAAUUUAAGUACCAAUGAGUGAACUUGCUUGAAUUUCGCAAUACGCGUUCGUGUUCGACAUCAUCUUAACAAAACGCUGUAUAUUUUCAUCAUUCCUUGUGUAGUCGAACAACGAGACUUAACCAACAAAAAAGAGUUUCGUGUCGGAUUUGAAGUCAAACGAUCAAAGUAAUAGCACCGAUGCAUUACCACCAACCAAAUGACAAUUUUGAACAUUUUUCCGGCUGAGAUUCUUUUGCCAAUUUUCAACCAUACAGAUGAUAUUGGUUUACUAAGUUUGGGCUUGAUCAGCGCACGAUUUAAGCCAAUGGCACGAGAAUUGUCCGCGGAAAGAUACCCCGACAGAUAUUUUCUAAUCGAAAGAGAGACCGAACGACAUCAAAUCAUGUAUUUCGAGCUAUUCAACUUCUGUGUUAGCAACAUAAGAGCAAUUGAAGCGAAUGGCAUUCGAUACAUUGAUGACAAUCAUUGGCUAGUUCAACUAUUGGAUACCCAUAUGCUAAAUAAGUACUUGUCGAAAAGAUGCCCAAAUUUGAAAAUAUUGGUUAUCAGAACCAAAGUUAAUUUUCAAAGAAAAAAUCUCUAAAAAUUCACGGCUACUCAAAAAUUUACAAAAACUUCAAUUCAAACCUCGUGAUGAUCCGCAAGUGAAAUUUGUCAAGAAAUUCUUCAAUAAUUCUAGUACUGAGGUUGUCAUUAAUUCAUAAGGGAAUGAAAAGCAAAAAAAAAAACGUUUGUUAGAAACCUUGAAUAUUAUCGCUUAAAUAAGUCUAUUUUUGUAGCAUUGAAAAAUUGACUCAUUUUCAAGGAAAUGCAUGUCAAAAAAUGUUCCAGUAAAAUUAUACAUUCCUCAAAAAUAAAUAUUCAAUACAAAAAAAUGCCACGAAAUCAAA